AGCAGCGUGGCUCAGUGGAAAGAGCACGGGCUUGGAAGUCAGAGGUCAUGAGUUCAAAUCCCAGCUCUGCCA
Molecule: transfer RNA, 72 nt
Filed under: Ornithorhynchus anatinus (platypus)
Lineage: Eukaryota; Metazoa; Chordata; Mammalia; Monotremata; Ornithorhynchidae
Rfam family: tRNA
About the family: Transfer RNA (tRNA) molecules are approximately 80 nucleotides in length. Their secondary structure includes four short double-helical elements and three loops (D, anti-codon, and T loops). Further hydrogen bonds mediate the characteristic L-shaped molecular structure. tRNAs have two regions of fundamental functional importance: the anti-codon, which is responsible for specific mRNA codon recognition, and the 3' end, to which the tRNAs corresponding amino acid is attached (by aminoacyl-tRNA synthetases). tRNAs cope with the degeneracy of the genetic code in two manners: having more than one tRNA (with a specific anti-codon) for a particular amino acid; and 'wobble' base-pairing, i.e. permitting non-standard base-pairing at the 3rd anti-codon position.
Source: Rfam by way of RNAcentral